Molecule: unclassified non-coding RNA, 333 nt
Filed under: soil metagenome
Description: partial contains 5.8S ribosomal RNA, internal transcribed spacer 2, and large subunit ribosomal RNA
Rfam family: 5.8S ribosomal RNA (bases 2-121)
Source: RNAcentral
GGAUGAAGAACGCAGCGAAAUGCGAAAAGUAAUGUGAAUUGCAGAAUUCAGUGAACCAUCGAAUCUUUGAACGCACAUUGCGCCCGCUGGAACUCCGGCGGGCACGCCUGUCCGAGCGUCAUUUCAACCCUCAAGCACAGCUUGGUGUUGGGACUCGCGUUAAUUCGCGUUCCCCAAAUUGAUUGGCGGUCACGUCGAGCUUCCAUAGCGUAGUAGUAAAACCCUCGUUACUGGUAAUCGUCGCGGCCACGCCGUUAAACCCCAACUUCUGAAUGUUGACCUCGGAUCAGGUAGGAAUACCCGCUGAACUUAAGCAUAUCAAUAAGCGGAGGA